This 168-nucleotide non-coding RNA is filed under the name Pseudoalteromonas carrageenovora IAM 12662. The record is from RNAcentral. Lineage: Bacteria; Pseudomonadati; Pseudomonadota; Gammaproteobacteria; Alteromonadales; Pseudoalteromonadaceae.
CUCAUGCAUUGGUUUUAAGGUAUUGAAACUAACAGCAAGAUAAUCGGGAAGUUGGUGCGUAUUUAUGACAAAAGCAAUCCCAACACUGCCCCCGCAACGGUAAAGUAUUAACACUUUUUUAAAGGUGUUUACUGAGUCCGGAGACCGGCCUUAAAGUAAUCUUACUUA